AUGGCUGUUGAUGGUGGGCAUGGUGGUGGGAAUCACCCAUUGCGUUGGACAUCUCCAAUGUCUGGGUUCAUGUUACGUCGGUUUGUAGAGCUCAUUGCUGGUGGAGUGAAGACGGAGAAGGGUUUUAAGGAGGUGCACCUAAACCAGGUGGCUAAGAAUUGUAGUGAGCAUUUUGGUCUUUCCAUAAUAGGGACCCAAGUGUACAACCACCUCCGCAAGUGGCGUGCUAGGUGGGUGAAGCUAAGUAAGCUCUGA
This 255-nucleotide ribosomal RNA is filed under the name Triticum aestivum (bread wheat). RNAcentral describes it as "partial small subunit ribosomal RNA". The record is from RNAcentral. Lineage: Eukaryota; Viridiplantae; Streptophyta; Magnoliopsida; Poales; Poaceae.